This 479-nucleotide ribosomal RNA is filed under the name uncultured bacterium. RNAcentral's name for it is "bacterial SSU rRNA". It matches the Rfam family "Bacterial small subunit ribosomal RNA", at positions 29 to 506 of the family's 1533-position model. The record is from RNAcentral.
AUGAACGCUAGCGGCAGGCUUAACACAUGCAAGUCGAGGGGCAGCACGGUAGCAAUACUGGUGGCGACCGGCGCACGGGUGAGUAACGCGUAUGCAAUCUACCUUUAACUGGAGAAUAGCUCCGAGAAAUCGGGAUUAAUACUUCAUAAUAUUUUGGGGAGACAUCUCCCUGAUCUUAAAGCUCGGCGGUUAAAGAUGAGCAUGCGUACCAUUAGCUAGUUGGUAGGGUAACGGCCUACCAAGGCUACGAUGGUUAGGGGGUCUGAGAGGAUGAUCCCCCACACUGGUACUGAGACACGGACCAGACUCCUACGGGAGGCAGCAGUGAGGAAUAUUGGUCAAUGGGUGCAAACCUGAACCAGCCAUGCCGCGUGAAGGAUGAAGGUCCUACGGAUUGUAAACUUCUUUUAUACGGAAAAAAACCUCCCUACGUGUAGGGAGCUGAUGGUACCGUAAGAAUAAGGAUCGGCUAACUCCGU